UGUAAGCGUAUACCAAAGUUGUUGCAGUUAAAACGCUCGUAGUCGGAAUUUGGCAGUUCCGGAAGUGUGCACGUCGUGUGCGCACUUUGCGGGGACUGCUUUUGUGGUCUUGCGUAGGAUGAGGCACUUUCAUUAGUGAACGUCCUCACGCAACCACUCUUUACUGGGAGAAAAUCAGAGUGCUCAAAGCAGGCAUUUGCCGUGAAUGUAUUAGCAUGGAAUAAUAGAAUAGGACUCGGUUCUAUUUUGUUGGUUUGUUGGGACUGAGUAAUGAUUAAGAGGGACAGUUGGGGGCAUUUGUAUUCCGGCGCUAGAGGUGAAAUUCUUAGAUUGCCGGAAGACAAACUGCUGCGAAAGCGUCUGCCAAGGAUGUUUUCAUUGA
This 382-nucleotide ribosomal RNA is filed under the name uncultured eukaryote. Its description in RNAcentral is "partial 18S ribosomal RNA". It matches the Rfam family "Eukaryotic small subunit ribosomal RNA", at positions 592 to 976 of the family's 1831-position model. The record is from RNAcentral.